Molecule: ribosomal RNA, 459 nt
Filed under: Prosorhochmus belizeanus
Lineage: Eukaryota; Metazoa; Nemertea; Enopla; Monostilifera; Prosorhochmidae
Description: partial 16S ribosomal RNA
Rfam family: Bacterial large subunit ribosomal RNA
Source: RNAcentral
AGUUUCUUGGGUUUUUAUAAGAAAUAGUUUCUGCUCGGUGAUUUUAAACAGCUGCGGUAUUUUGACCGUGCAAAGGUAGCAUAAUCAUUUGCUUCAUAAUUGGGGGCCUGUAUGAAAGGACGCACAAAGUUUUUUCUUUAUUUUUAGGAUAAUUAUAAUUUUCUUUUUUAGUGAAGAAGCUAAAAUUUCGAAGUGGGACAAGAAGACCCUUUUGAGCUUUACUAUUUUCUUUUUUUUUAUAAUGAAGGUAGUUUGGUUGGGGCGACCGAGGAAGAAAGAUCUUCCUUCUUAAUUUUGAUCCAUAGGUUUUGGUUGAUAGAUUAAGUUACCAUAGGGAUAACAGCGUAAUUUUCUUUGAGAGUUCUUAUUAAAAGGAAAGAUUGCGACCUCGAUGUUGACUUAUAAUUCCCUGAUGGUGUAGUAGUUUUUAGGGUGGGUCUGUUCGACCUUUAAAAUUUU